RNAcentral lists this long non-coding RNA (437 nucleotides) under Bos taurus (domestic cattle). Its description in RNAcentral is "long non-coding RNA NONBTAT019005". Lineage: Eukaryota; Metazoa; Chordata; Mammalia; Artiodactyla; Bovidae. The record is from RNAcentral.
UGGCCCAGAUGUCCAGUCUAUAGUGACCUCAUCAUUUUCUAUCUGAUGCAGCUACACGCCCAGCCUUGAGGCUUCUACCCUAAUUCCAGAGCAGACCCAUUUUAACAGUUGGCUCAUGAAGAUGUAUUCACCUGCAGGCCAGGAGUGUGGAACUCAGGGUUCCUGUCUGCAGAGUUUUGGUUUGUGACCGAAAAGUUGCCAGCCAUAUUUCAAUUUCAUAAACAGAAUCCAAAGCCCUCUUGGGGGAUGACCCAUCAGAUACUUCCUGAUCAAGGCCAAGGGUAAGUCCCUUCUGGAUCAGUCCAGAACACCCAAGUGGAGGACAGUCCCAGUGUAGGCCAGGCUGGACCAGGAGGGCAGGGAAGAAAGCAGCUUUCCUAGCUAUGGCCAUGAGAUGACCAGGGAAGCUGGGUACUGUUAGCGGCUUUUAUAAAUGC